GACGAACGCUGGCGGCGUGCCUAAUACAUGCAAGUUGAGCGCUGAAGGUUGGUACUUGUACCAACUGGAUGAGCAGCGAACGGGUGAGUAACGCGUGGGUAAUCUGCCUUUGAGCGUGGGACAACAUUUGGAAACGAAUGCUAAUACCGCAUAAAAACUUUAAACACAAGUUUUAAGUUUGAAAGAUGCAAUUGCAUCACUCAAAGAUGAUCUCGCGUUGUAUUAGCUAGUUUGUGAGGUAAAGGCCCACCAAGGCGAAGAUACAUAAGCGACCUGAGAGGGUGGUCGGCCACAAUGGGACUGGGACACGGCCCAAGAUCCUACGGGAGGCAGGAGUAGGGAAUCUUCGGGAAUGGGGGGAAGUCUGGCCGGACAACGCCGGGUGGGUGAAGAAGGUUUUCGGAUCGUAAAACUCUGUUGGUAGGGGAGAACGUUAGUGGGAGUGAAAAGCUCAUGAAGUGACGGUAACUACCCAGAAAGGGACGGCUAACUACGUG
This 497-nucleotide ribosomal RNA is filed under the name uncultured bacterium. RNAcentral's name for it is "partial 16S ribosomal RNA". It matches the Rfam family "Bacterial small subunit ribosomal RNA", at positions 28 to 507 of the family's 1533-position model. The record is from RNAcentral.